UCUAAUGCUAUCCAAUCUCUCAUUUAUUUUUAAUAAAAACCUAAAUGCAAUCUCAAAUUAAAAUUCUUUAUACAUCUAUAAAUAUAACUCUGAAUCUAUUAAAAUCAAAGAUUAGAAAGAAAGUAAAAGGAUUAAAAGAAGUUUUCAAGGCUUAACCAAAGAUAAUAUUAAGAUUUAAGUUAAAAUAAAAUUUAGCCAAAAUUUUAGAAAAAAAAAAAGGAAGAAACUCAAAAAAAAAUCUCAAAACUAUAGAAAAACUAAAUUCGUAA
This 269-nucleotide long non-coding RNA is filed under the name Physcomitrium patens. Its description in RNAcentral is "long non-coding RNA (PPAT_LNC000403)". Lineage: Eukaryota; Viridiplantae; Streptophyta; Bryopsida; Funariales; Funariaceae. The record is from RNAcentral.